This 136-nucleotide transfer RNA is filed under the name Penicillium salamii. Its description in RNAcentral is "tRNA-Arg". It matches the Rfam family "tRNA". From Rfam's summary of the family: Transfer RNA (tRNA) molecules are approximately 80 nucleotides in length. Their secondary structure includes four short double-helical elements and three loops (D, anti-codon, and T loops). Further hydrogen bonds mediate the characteristic L-shaped molecular structure. tRNAs have two regions of fundamental functional importance: the anti-codon, which is responsible for specific mRNA codon recognition, and the 3' end, to which the tRNAs corresponding amino acid is attached (by aminoacyl-tRNA synthetases). tRNAs cope with the degeneracy of the genetic code in two manners: having more than one tRNA (with a specific anti-codon) for a particular amino acid; and 'wobble' base-pairing, i.e. permitting non-standard base-pairing at the 3rd anti-codon position. The record is from RNAcentral. Lineage: Eukaryota; Fungi; Ascomycota; Eurotiomycetes; Eurotiales; Aspergillaceae.
GGCGGUUUGGCCGAGUGGUCUAAGGCGAUUGAGUACGUUCCACUUCAUCAGAUAAUCAUCUAAACUUUCACUAACCAAUCCAACAGCUAGAAAUCAAUUCUCUUCGGAGGCGCAUGUUCGAAUCAUGCAGCCGUCG